CGCCCCAUUCCUUUCCCCAUUGACCCAAUCAACACAUUGGUCUUCCUCUCCCUCGCAUCUCUGCAAAUAAAAUACGACGCAAAACAAAGGCGGGAGCAGGGCAAAGGUCACAUCCAAGCCGCGAUCGACAACACGCUAUUGUGCUUCUUUUCCUACGCCAAAGCCAUGAUAGAGCCGUCUGCGCUCAGCCUCGCCUUAUGGAGGUGUCCCCGUGGUGUUGGCGCUCCCAAGUGUUGGCUGUUUGGUCGAUUCGACUUGCCCAUGCCGUCCCCUCCGCUACUGGAGGCUUUCUCGGUCGGCGAUGCUAGGGCCAACCGUGGACGACCGCUAAGCCUAAGGCAUCUAAGUUGCCUGGCCAUGAGGUGGCCGAUCCGUAGCUGCCAAUUUGGUGGUCUGUGAAAGUGCCUGACGGUCGUAGCUCGGGUGGAUUGCCUAGCCUGAGAGCAUACUGUGGUGUUGUUGGUCAGACUAGGGUGGAUUGCCUAGCCUGAGCUGCCUGGGCAUGCCCUCGGCUGCACAAAGACGAGCGAGAUAAGCGCCGACGGUCAGUCUCGUCGUCGCCAUCACAGCAGCGAAGCCGUGAGUGAGGGAGAGAUCGCAGACCGAGUGGGCUAGGGCGGCUUUGUCUUGAGCCGGCUCGUAUAUUUGACUGGCUCGGUUCGUUCAGUUUUGGGCUAGGCUUAUUUUAUUUUUAUUUUUUACCAUUUUUUUUAAAGGUUUGGGCUUGAGCUUUACAACCAUUUGACUUAAGAAGGGGAAAAAAGAUUCCACUUCUGAAUA
Eucalyptus grandis is the source of this 780-nucleotide long non-coding RNA. RefSeq lists it as uncharacterized. The record is from RefSeq and is a predicted model, not a curated record. Lineage: Eukaryota; Viridiplantae; Streptophyta; Magnoliopsida; Myrtales; Myrtaceae. The transcript is spliced from 2 exons.